CCUACGGGUGGCAGCAGUGGGGGAUAUUGCACAAUGGGGGAAACCCUGAUGCAGCGACGCCGCGUGUGGGAAGACGGUCUUCUGGAUUGUAAACCACUGUCCCCAGGGACGAAAAUGACGGUACCUGGGGAGGAAGCUCCGGCUAACUACGUGCCAGUAGCCGCGGUAAUACGUAGGGAGCAAGCGUUGUCCGGAAUUACUGGGUGUAACGGGAGCGUAGGCGGGGAUGCAAGUUGGGUGUCAAAACUACCGGCUCAACCGAUAGUCGCACUCAAAACUGCAACUCUUGAGUGAAGUAGAGGCAGGCGGAAUUCGUAGUGUAGCGGUGAAAUGCGUAGAUAUUAGGAGGAACACCAGUGGCGAAGGCGGCCUGCUGGGCUUUUACUGACGCUGAGGCUCGAAAGUGUGGGGAGCAAACAGGAUUAGAUACCCCUGUAGUC
This 440-nucleotide ribosomal RNA is filed under the name uncultured bacterium. RNAcentral describes it as "partial 16S ribosomal RNA". It matches the Rfam family "Bacterial small subunit ribosomal RNA", at positions 338 to 795 of the family's 1533-position model. The record is from RNAcentral.